This 64-nucleotide transfer RNA is filed under the name Eleutheronema rhadinum (East Asian fourfinger threadfin). RNAcentral's name for it is "tRNA-Met". Lineage: Eukaryota; Metazoa; Chordata; Actinopteri; Polynemidae. The record is from RNAcentral.
AGUAGAGUAAGCUAAAUAAGCUCUUGGGCCCAUACCCCAACUAUGCAGGUUAAAACCCUGCCUA